GGUGUGUGAGGGAGUUUAUUGAGGAUAAUUGCUCGUACAUCUAGAAAAUAUAGUGAGAUAUGAAUCUCAUGAUUAAAGAGGCCAUUCCGCUAUUAUGGGCCAAUCAUCAUUGAGUGUGGGGGGAUUUGGACAUCUCCAUGUGCCUUCAGAAUGGCCACAUGGUAAUGACCAAUUGGCCAACAUGAGAACUUCAUGGCAGAUUCACAUCAGCCUUCAAUUAGUCAGAUGUACC
This 232-nucleotide long non-coding RNA is filed under the name Elaeis guineensis (African oil palm). RNAcentral describes it as "long non-coding RNA (EGUI_LNC066307)". Lineage: Eukaryota; Viridiplantae; Streptophyta; Magnoliopsida; Arecales; Arecaceae. The record is from RNAcentral.